Molecule: RNA transcript, 1656 nt
Organism: Paramacrobiotus metropolitanus
Lineage: Eukaryota; Metazoa; Tardigrada; Eutardigrada; Parachela; Macrobiotidae
Exons: 6
Source: RefSeq, a predicted model, not a curated record
CGAAUUCGGGACAAGGUCUUACUUCUCCUAUUGUAUUGAUACCUACGUUAACAAUGUUGGCAAGCUAUCGAAUUAGUUUUUACUUGAGAAUAAAUCAAUAUGGUUUUAAUGAAUAUUAUCUGGCAACCGUGGUUUGAUAGCUUCUUCGAAGUCACGUUGAGUUCGAAGCUUCCUACAGUUUCCGAUAUGCAGAAUCCGGUGGCAUUAAUAUAAGCAGUUGUGUUUUUGCGGGUUGGUUUGAUCUAUCCAAAGGUUACGGGGUGUGUUUGUAAUAAUUAUAGAUCUUAUCCCUUGAAAUCAUUUGUAUUGACAUAAUUGGGAUCAUGUACCGAUGACGUAUGUUCCCUGUUGUACUGGUGUUUCAGGACUGGACUGCUGGUUUUGUACUACCAACGAAACUAUUAAAGAGCCAGAGUUGUUAAAGCUUGCCAAUGAUCCAAACGUUUUCAAUGCUUGUGAACCAGGUGGAAACUUACCCAGCACAGCAAAGGAGGCAUGUCCAUUCUAUGUCGGAAGAGUGUACUAUUGUGGAAUUUUUUACUAUAUGGACAGAAGAAACAAGAAUAACAAAAUACCGAUUUCCCGACGCUGCAUUAUUGCGAUUUAUGAUACCGGCCCGCCCGUUUUUUCAGAUGCACAACCGUUAUUUUGUUAUACUGAAAUGGUUAAGGGAGACAGAAGCUACUCCUGCAUCUGCCGUGGGUCGUAUUGCAAUAAUUUCAGCCUAGCAGCGAUUGGCAUCGCCGUCGACAACACGAAUUUACCAGACAAUCAGAAAAAGCCAAUACCAGCUGGAUCUUCACUAUCGCCCGUUAUGCCAAGCAGUGGGUCAGGCAGUACAGGCAGUGCUUCGAACAGUGCGGACAACCCGGCUCUACAAUCCGUUGCUGGUAACAAAGAAUCUGGAGACGAAGUGGCGGCUAGUGGACAAAGCCCCACCUCAGCCGGCAAAGGUGGUUCGACAAAUGGGAGCAGCAAUGCGGCUGGAUCAAAAGAGAGUGGACCAAACGUGAUUGUUAUUAUCGCCACUGUCGUUGUUGCGGCCAUUUUGCUGCUAAUCGGAGGUAUCGUUCUCUAUAAACACAACCAUCAUCAUAGACGACGACGUCCGGAAGACGAGGAAGAGGAUGAGAAUGACGAGCAGUCGCAGAGAUGACGAAAAGGUUGUGGAUGAAAUUUAGUUGGGCCCCGAAUCUUUGUGUGUGAACCGGUGCACGAUCUCGGUAAUACUAGUAAAACGCACAACCCGAUAGUACCCACUGAGCGUUAUGCUUCUAAAAAUACGAGUACUUAGUUUAACCACCAGGAAAGGAAUCGGUAGUGAGGGUAUAGGUGUGAUCAUUUCAAAGUAAGCUUUUGCGUUCUACUUCGGCUGCAUGGCAGUUAUAACUGUUAAUAAGUUGGUCUUGCAGUACAUACGCAGUUUUGUUCAGAUACGUCGAAUUCUAUUGUUCUCUAAAGUGAAAAAUUAAUGAAUUACUGGUGAUAGUGAACUGUUUGCUUAUUUUGCAUGCUUAUUGAUCAAUAUAAGAUGACUGUGAACAGGUGAUUGUGUAAUAAUUAUUAUUAGCUUUUCUCUGUUUUGCGUCGCUUCUGUUUGCUUGAUUUCAAAUCUCCACAAAAUUCUUGUUCAAAAUAACCAAAGAUUACUUUCAC